AUUUUUUAUUCCUUUCAGCUGAGGAUUGUUGAAGCCUAAUGUAGUGAUUGAAGCAUUUCAAGAUAGGGAUUCUAGGAUGAAUGUUGUUGUUGCUCAAAAUCUCAGCAAGUUCACUAAUCCUGAAUACGGUUUUCAAGAACUCUCGGCUGACUUAGUUGAGGCAGCAGCUGCUCACUGCCAGUUAAUUGUUGUUUCCAAGUAGCUACUCGUGGAGGUGGUUUAUCAACUAUCAUUGUUGUUAGUAUGGCUGUAACUGGUUAGUGGUUCAAAGUUCAACAACUUGAAAAAUGAAGCAGGUGCGCCUAAAAUGAAGCAUGUUCCUAGGUUUACAGCGUCAGUUGCAGGAACCUGUCCACCGUACGAUCUCGAGGUUCCACCGUAAAUUAAAUUGGUUCAAUAUUUCUUUGUUGGUGUAAAGGUAUUGUUCCAUCUACUUGGCGAUCCUAAAACUCACGACGAUACCUCUACCCGUAUGAACAUUAUUGGAUGUCACACGAUUCUGUUAGAAAUAUGAUGCUCAUAGUGCCGGGGUCGUUCUCCUGUUGGCGGCAAAGUGAACGAUACUGAACAUUCAAGAGAAGUGUCUUCAUUAAACCAAACCUGCCCGCUGUCAACAUUCAUGAAAGUUUGGUUUGAACCUAUAACUUCUAAGGUGCAUUGUUAGUCUUAAGCUAAUCGGUACGUUGGAUUGGUGUCGCUUAUAGUUGAGCGUUUUCAGAAUGUUGUUCGUAAUUCGUAAGGUCACUGGCAAGGCAUUGAUGUUAGCUGAAAUCAGAAACUAUGUACAGUCUCUUCAGCAAAAAAUGAAGUUAUGCACUUAUAGUUUAAUUUCUACAACAUUUCCAACAGCUGGAUGAUGAAUCAUAUAUGUUUGAACGCCGAUCUCAAUUGUUGCAUCGUCUUAGGCAUGUAAAUUACUCGAGUAUAUGAAGUUGCUUCCUAAUUUCCCCUCCUUAAAGUUGUCUAUUUCAGUUUGAUAUACAGUUUUUGCUUGGAGGUAGACUUCAUUUUGAAUAAAUACAUGUAUUUGCUUGCUGUCUUGCGGAUGGAGUUAGUAAUUUGGAGCUGCCAAUUUGGUACAGGGUGAUAUCAAGACCUGAUAUGACAAAAACAUUAAGCAUUAAAGAGAACUUUAUGGUAGCAUCAAUGUUGGGAAUGUGUGGAGAAUAUUCACACUAACAGCUCUGCUGACAAUUCAGAUCAAAAUUGCAACCUUCCGCUCAUAGAGUAUUCAUCUCUUUCAAGUUUCAGCUUCUCCCCCAAUCGGUUUGAACCAUUCAACCGUUUCUUUUUCUGAUUUAAAAUAUUUGUUAUAGCUUUGUUGGUCUAUUUAAGUUGUUACUAAUAUGUUACUAUUGCUAUUUUACAAUUUUGGUAUUUGUUUGUUGCUGUUGGAUGCUAUCUACUGCUAUAUUGGUAUUUAUUUGUUGUUGUUGGAUGUUGAUCUGCUGCUGUUUUGCUGUUUAUUUGUUGCUGUUAGAAGCCAUUGAAUGUCGUCUGUUGCUGUUCCGUUGAAUGUCGUAUGCUGUUGUUUGUUGCUGUUGGAUGUUGUCUCAUGCUGUUUUGGUGUUUGCCCGUGUUAUUCUGAUGCUGUCUCAUGCUGUUUUGGUCAUAUUUUUAAUACUUCUUAUGCAUUAUGAUGCUAUUUUGAAUAGAUUUGAAGUAUAUGUUGACAAACUAUGAAUUUUAUAUGCAUUUUUCUCUUCCUGUGUGCAGGUUCAAGCAUCCCACAGUUUCGAUUUGAACAAGGCUUAUGUUUUUUCUUGAUACUUCUCAUCAGUAUUUUCAAUAGCUUAUGUUUUUUCUUGAAGCAAAUGCGUAUCUAUUAGAACAAUAGCUUAUGUUUUUCUCAUGAGUAUUUUCAUAUGCGGGAAUGGUCUUUUGUCUAUCUAUUAGAACUCAUAAUAUCGGUUUUCACGUGUCUACAGUAAUUUAUAUGACAGGCCUUUAUGGAUUGUUCAGUAGCCGUCUAAAUCAAGCCCAGAUAAGAGUCACGAUAUCGUCACCGCCAUUGAAAAUUACAGCCUAAAUGACUUUAUGACAUAUAUGAUAUUUUCUGUAUGGUUGAUACGUUAGGGAUACAUUGAGGCUGAGCCCUCGUGAUCAUGCUUACUAUCUCGAUUACGUCGGAAAUGAAUUGUGAGGACGAUGCCUCCACCCAAAGAUAAGUGUGUUUCCUUACAAUAUAUAUGUUUUCCAUACAACAAAGUUAUGCUUACAAUAUAUGUGGCUUUGUGACAAUAUAUCUGUUUGUGUGAAAUCUCUAUGCUUCACAUCCACUUAUUGCUGCAUUUAAAUACUCUGUACUACAAAAAGGUUGUUGGUCAUAAAAUACUCUUUAUGAUAGAAUAACAUUAUUUUUUUGUUAAAUUGUUUACAACCAUGUCUCUUUUCCCCUCUUCAUGAUUCGAUGCAGAUCUGGAGGAAUGGCCCCUGCUGCUAAAUACGGUGGGUUUAGUUUUGGAGGGCCGGGUAUGUCUCAUAGACAACCUGCUGCUGAUAAUGGGUCGGGGAUCACUAACAAUACUAGGUUUGGGUUUUGGAAUUUUGUAUUGAAUUUUAAAUGUGUUUUGGGGUUGCAGGUAGUGAUGUAUCCAAUUAUCAACCUUAGGAAACACAAGAUGGAUCUUUAUUGGUAUCUCAGAAAACUUGAAGAGGUUGUUAUUAGUGUUCUGUCUUUAACUUUUUCGAUUCAUGCUUCUCGUGUGGAAGGUUUAACGCGUGUUUGGGUUGGAAAUGAGAAAGUGGCAGCUAUAUGUAUAAGGGUGGCUCAAUGGAUAACAUAUCAUGGCUUAGCACUUAACGUAACGACGAAUUUGAGUCCCUUUAAAUGGAUCGUCCCUUGUGGAAUACGUGGCCGUCAAGUUGGGAGUUUCAAAGGGUUGCUAAGAGAAGCUCAGUCAUCAUGUAAUGAUCAUGGAACAUCUAAUUUGCAUGGUUUGGAUGAUGACAGUCUUAUUCAUAUUACUCAUAAGUCCUUAAUUGAAGAGUUCUAAAAAGUGUUUCAGCUUGAGUACCAUAAAACUAUU
Molecule: RNA transcript, 3029 nt
Organism: Vicia villosa (hairy vetch)
Lineage: Eukaryota; Viridiplantae; Streptophyta; Magnoliopsida; Fabales; Fabaceae
Gene name: octanoyltransferase LIP2p, chloroplastic-like
Exons: 10
Source: RefSeq, a predicted model, not a curated record